UUUCACGCUGGCGGCAGGCCUAACACAUGCAAGUCGAACGGUAACAGAAAGCAGCUUGCUGCUUUGCUGACGAGUGGCGGACGGGUGAGUAAUGUCUGGGAAACUGCCUGAUGGAGGGGGAUAACUACUGGAAACGGUAGCUAAUACCGCAUAACGUCGCAAGACCAAAGAGGGGGACCUUCGGGCCUCUUGCCAUCGGAUGUGCCCAGAUGGGAUUAGCUAGUAGGUGGGGUAACGGCUCACCUAGGCGACGAUCCCUAGCUGGUCUGAGAGGAUGACCAGCCACACUGGAACUGAGACACGGUCCAGACUCCUACGGGAGGCAGCAGUGGGGAAUAUUGCACAAUGGGCGCAAGCCUGAUGCAGCCAUGCCGCGUGUAUGAAGAAGGCCUUCGGGUUGUAAAGUACUUUCAGCGGGGAGGAAGGGAGUAAAGUUAAUACCUUUGCUCAUUGACGUUACCCGCAGAAGAAGCACCGGCUAACUCCGUG
This 489-nucleotide ribosomal RNA is filed under the name uncultured bacterium. Its description in RNAcentral is "partial 16S ribosomal RNA". It matches the Rfam family "Bacterial small subunit ribosomal RNA", at positions 33 to 507 of the family's 1533-position model. The record is from RNAcentral.